UUUAAUGAGAGUUUGAUCCUGGCUCAGGACGAACGCUGGCGGCGUGCCUAAUACAUGCAAGUAGAACGCUGAGGUUUGGUGUUUACACUAGACUGAUGAGUUGCGAACGGGUGAGUAACGCGUAGGUAACCUGCCUCAUAGCGGGGGAUAACUAUUGGAAACGAUAGCUAAUACCGCAUAAGAGUAAUUAACACAUGUUAGUUAUUUAAAAGGAGCAAUUGCUUCACUGUGAGAUGGACCUGCGUUGUAUUAGCUAGUUGGUGAGGUAAAGGCUCACCAAGG
RNAcentral lists this ribosomal RNA (282 nucleotides) under Streptococcus agalactiae. Its description in RNAcentral is "partial 16S ribosomal RNA". It matches the Rfam family "Bacterial small subunit ribosomal RNA", at positions 1 to 273 of the family's 1533-position model. The record is from RNAcentral. Lineage: Bacteria; Bacillati; Bacillota; Bacilli; Lactobacillales; Streptococcaceae.